CCUACGGGCGGCAGCAGUGGGGAAUAUUGGACAAUGGGGGGAACCCUGAUCCAGCCAUGCCGCGUGUGUGAAGAAGGCCCUCGGGUUGUAAAGCACUUUCAGUGAGGAAGAACGCCUGGUGGUUAAUACCCAUCAGGAAAGACAUCACUCACAGAAGAAGCACCGGCUAACUCCGUGCCAGCAGCCGCGGUAAUACGGAGGGUGCGAGCGUUAAUCGGAAUUACUGGGCGUAAAGCGCGCGUAGGUGGCUUGAUAAGCCGGUUGUGAAAGCCCCGGGCUCAACCUGGGAACGGCAUCCGGAACUGUCAAGCUAGAGUGCAGGAGAGGAAGGUAGAAUUCCCGGUGUAGCGGUGAAAUGCGUAGAGAUCGGGAGGAAUACCAGUGGCGAAGGCGGCCUUCUGGACUGACACUGACACUGAGGUGCGAAAGCGUGGGUAGCAAACAGGAUUAGAUACCCCUGUAGUA
This 465-nucleotide ribosomal RNA is filed under the name Vreelandella stevensii. RNAcentral describes it as "partial 16S ribosomal RNA". It matches the Rfam family "Bacterial small subunit ribosomal RNA", at positions 338 to 795 of the family's 1533-position model. The record is from RNAcentral. Lineage: Bacteria; Pseudomonadati; Pseudomonadota; Gammaproteobacteria; Oceanospirillales; Halomonadaceae.